Molecule: ribosomal RNA, 467 nt
Filed under: uncultured bacterium
Lineage: Bacteria
Description: partial 16S ribosomal RNA
Rfam family: Bacterial small subunit ribosomal RNA
Source: RNAcentral
GACGAACGCUGGCGGCGUGCUUAACACAUGCAAGUCGAACGGAAAGGCCCUGCUUUUGUGGGGUGCUCGAGUGGCGAUCGGGUGAGUAACACGUGAGUAACCUGCCCUUGACUUUGGGAUAACUUCAGGAAACUGGGGCUAAUACCGGAUAGGAGCUCCUGCUGCAUGGUGGGGGUUGGAAAGUUUCGGCGGUUGGGGAUGGACUCGCGGCUUAUCAGCUUGUUGGUGGGGUAGUGGCUUACCAAGGCUUGACGGGUAGCCGGCCUGAGAGGGUGACCGGCCAAAUUGGGACUGAGAUACGGCCCAGACUCCUACGGGAGGCAGCAGUGGGGAAUAUUGCACAAUGGGCGGAAGCCUGAUGCAGCAACGCCGCGUGCGGGAUGACGGCCUUCGGGUUGUAAACCGCUUUCGCCUGUGACGAAGCGUGAGUGACGGUAAUGGGUAAAGAAGCACCGGCUAACUACGUG